AAAAAACUAGUUAAUUAAUAUAACAAAAGAAUGUCAUUCUUUAGUAACCUAAACGGUGUUUUUUA
RNAcentral lists this transfer RNA (65 nucleotides) under Rhipicephalus maculatus. Its description in RNAcentral is "tRNA-Asp". The record is from RNAcentral. Lineage: Eukaryota; Metazoa; Arthropoda; Arachnida; Ixodida; Ixodidae.